GAUGAACGCUGGCGGCGUGCCUAACACAUGCAAGUCGAACGAAGCACCUUACCUGAUUCUUCGGAUGAAAGUUUGGUGACUGAGUGGCGGACGGGUGAGUAACGCGUGGGUAACCUGCCCUGUACAGGGGGAUAACAGCUGGAAACGGCUGCUAAUACCGCAUAAGCGCACGAGGAGACAUCUCCUUGUGUGAAAAACUCCGGUGGUACAGGAUGGGCCCGCGUCUGCUUAGCUGGUUGGCAGGGUAACGGCCUACCAAGGCAAGGAUCAGUAGCCGGUCUGAGAGGAUGAACGCCCACAGUGGAACUGAGACACGGUCCAAACUAAUACGGGAGGCAGCAGUGGGGAAUAUAACAGAAUGGGGGAAAGCCUGAUGCAGCAACGCCGCGUGAGUGAAGAAGUAUUUCGGUAUGUAAAGCGCUAUCAGAAGGGAAGAUCAUGACGGUACCUGACGAAGAAGCGCCGGCUAAAUACGUG
Molecule: ribosomal RNA, 477 nt
Filed under: uncultured bacterium
Lineage: Bacteria
Description: partial 16S ribosomal RNA
Rfam family: Bacterial small subunit ribosomal RNA
Source: RNAcentral